RNAcentral lists this ribosomal RNA (255 nucleotides) under uncultured bacterium. RNAcentral describes it as "partial small subunit ribosomal RNA". It matches the Rfam family "Bacterial small subunit ribosomal RNA", at positions 26 to 285 of the family's 1533-position model. The record is from RNAcentral.
AGGACGAACGCUGGCGGCGUGCUUAACACAUGCAAGUCGAGCGGAAAGGCCCUUCGGGGUACUCGAGCGGCGAACGGGUGAGUAACACGUGAGCAACCUGCCCUUAGCUUCGGGAUAGCUCCGGGAAACCGGAAUUAAUACCGAAUAUGACUGCGGCUGACAUCAGCCACGGUGGAAAGUUUUUUCGGCUAGGGAUGGACUCGCGGCCUAUCAGCUAGUUGGUGAGGUAACGGCCCACCAAGGCGACGACGGGUA